CAGCAGCCGCGGGAAUACGGAGGGAGCUAGCGUUGUUCGGAAUUACUGGGCGUAAAGCGCGCGUAGGCGGUUACUCAAGUCAGAGGUGAAAGCCUGGGGCUCAACCCCGGAACUGCCUUUGAAACUAGGUGACUAGAAUCUUGGAGAGGUCAGUGGUAUUCCGAGUGUAGAGGUGAAAUUCGUAGAUAUUCGGAAGAACACCAGUGGCGAAGGCGGCUUACUGGCUCAUUCUAGACGCUGAGGUGCGAAAGCGUGGGGAGCAAACAGGAUUAGAUACCCGGGUAGUCCCUGUCUCUUAUAC
RNAcentral lists this ribosomal RNA (301 nucleotides) under uncultured bacterium. Its description in RNAcentral is "partial 16S ribosomal RNA". It matches the Rfam family "Bacterial small subunit ribosomal RNA", at positions 509 to 807 of the family's 1533-position model. The record is from RNAcentral.